UACGUAGGGAGCAAGCGUUGUCCGGAAUCAUUGGGCGUAAAGCGCGCGUAGGUGGCCCCAUAAGUCCGCUGUGAAAGUCAAAGGCUCAACCUUUGAAAGCCGGUGGAUACUGUGGGACUAGAGUACGGAAGAGGCGAGUGGAAUUCCUGGUGUAGCGGUGGAAUGCGCAGAUAUCAGGAGGAAUACCAAUAGCGAAGGCAGCUCGCUGGGACGUUACUGACACUGAGGCGCGAAAGCGUGGGGAGCGAACAGG
Molecule: ribosomal RNA, 253 nt
Filed under: uncultured bacterium
Lineage: Bacteria
Description: partial 16S ribosomal RNA
Rfam family: Bacterial small subunit ribosomal RNA
Source: RNAcentral